UAUAUUUGCACCCGAGAAAAAUUUCUCGUACAUAAUAAUCAUUGAAAUAUAUUUGCAUG
Molecule: non-coding RNA, 59 nt
Filed under: unclassified sequences
Description: S15-Flavobacteria ribosomal protein leader
Rfam family: S15-Flavobacteria ribosomal protein leader
Source: RNAcentral